Armillaria nabsnona is the source of this 87-nucleotide non-coding RNA. Lineage: Eukaryota; Fungi; Basidiomycota; Agaricomycetes; Agaricales; Physalacriaceae. The record is from the annotation of a GenBank genome assembly.
GCCCGCCUAGCUCAAUCGGAUAGAGCGUCAGACUUUUAUCUAGGUGGAUGGAUCUGAAGGCUGCGAGUUCGACCCUCGCGGUGGGCU